CCGGCGCACGGGUGAGUAACGCGUAUGUAACUUACCUAUCAGGAGGGGACGAACCGGACGAAGUCGGACUAAUACCGCAUAAAGCAGGGAUCCCGCAUGGGAAUAUUUGCUAAAGAUUCAUCGCUGAUAGAUAGGCAUGCGUUCCAUUAGGCAGUUGGCGGGGUAACGGCCCACCAAACCGACGAUGGAUAGGGGUUCUGAGAGGAAGGUCCCCCACAUUGGUACUGAGACACGGACCAA
Molecule: ribosomal RNA, 240 nt
Filed under: uncultured bacterium
Lineage: Bacteria
Description: partial 16S ribosomal RNA
Rfam family: Bacterial small subunit ribosomal RNA
Source: RNAcentral